CUCGUAGGUGGCCAACUAAGUCAGACGUGAAAUCCCUCAGCUUAACUGGGGAACUGCGUCUGAUACUGGAUGGCUUGAGUUUGGGAGAGGGAUGCGGAAUUCCAGGUGUAGCGGUGAAAUGCGUAGAUAUCUGGAGGAACACCGGUGGCGAAGGCGGCAUCCUGGACCAAUACUGACACUGAGGAGCGAAAGCCAGGGGAAGCAACG
Molecule: ribosomal RNA, 207 nt
Filed under: uncultured bacterium
Lineage: Bacteria
Description: partial 16S ribosomal RNA
Rfam family: Bacterial small subunit ribosomal RNA
Source: RNAcentral